Non-coding RNA from Chiloscyllium plagiosum (whitespotted bambooshark), 72 nucleotides. Lineage: Eukaryota; Metazoa; Chordata; Chondrichthyes; Orectolobiformes; Hemiscylliidae. The record is from the annotation of a RefSeq genome assembly.
GAGCUUGUGGCGCAUCGGUAGCGCGUCUGACUCCAGAUCAAAAGGUUACGUGUUCGAAUCACGUCAGGCUCA